This is an unclassified non-coding RNA of Cercocebus atys (sooty mangabey), 108 nucleotides long. It matches the Rfam family "Y RNA". Rfam says of the family: Y RNAs are components of the Ro ribonucleoprotein particle (Ro RNP), in association with Ro60 and La proteins. The Y RNAs and Ro60 and La proteins are well conserved, but the function of the Ro RNP is not known. In humans the RNA component can be one of four small RNAs -- hY1, hY3, hY4 and hY5. NCBI's taxonomy places the organism in Eukaryota, Metazoa, Chordata, Mammalia, Primates, Cercopithecidae. The record is from Ensembl.
GGGUAGUCUGAAGGUCGUGAAUUAUCUUGAUUGAUUCUUCACAGUUACAGUUGGAACUCCUUGUUCUACCUUUUUCCUCUUCUUACUGCUAUACUUGAGUAGUCUAAA